This is a long non-coding RNA of Saccostrea echinata, 445 nucleotides long. RefSeq lists it as uncharacterized. The record is from RefSeq and is a predicted model, not a curated record. The transcript has 3 exons. Lineage: Eukaryota; Metazoa; Mollusca; Bivalvia; Ostreida; Ostreidae.
AUAAGUAGGCUUGCUAAGGCAAAGGGACAUAACUCGAGCUUCUCUAUUUUUAUAUGUCUCUGACGUCAGACACAUUUUUGACAUCGGGGUUAGUUGUCUUUUACGGCUUAUUUCUAAAUGAAUACGAACGCUGUGUUCCGAAUGAUCAAGGAACUAUUUUUGGAGAUGCUCCUAGCGCAUGCCUUUAGCUAGAAAGACCGUAAAGCACGUGUUUACUAAGGAAAACAACGAGGAGAAAGCAAACGACAUGUUAGAUGGUAAGAAAUGGUUUUUCAUGGACCCCACAUGGCGCAUACAGACGACGUUAAUGCUGUUCCUUGUUAAUUUUUGAAGACACUGAGGAAAAGAACUCCAUAAAGGCCAGAAUAGCCUGAUGGCCAGAUUAGCCGGACGUGUUAAUUAAUUUGUUAAUUAAAAAAUAAAAGUGUUUGUUUAAAAAUUCAAA